UGUCUCAGUAGCUCAGCAGGAUAGAGCAACGGCCUUCUAAGCCGUCGGUCAGGGGUUCGAAUCCCUUCUGGGACGUCAU
RNAcentral lists this transfer RNA (79 nucleotides) under Gemella haemolysans ATCC 10379. RNAcentral describes it as "tRNA-Arg". It matches the Rfam family "tRNA". From Rfam's summary of the family: Transfer RNA (tRNA) molecules are approximately 80 nucleotides in length. Their secondary structure includes four short double-helical elements and three loops (D, anti-codon, and T loops). The record is from RNAcentral. Lineage: Bacteria; Bacillati; Bacillota; Bacilli; Caryophanales; Gemellaceae.